GAUGAAGAACGUAGCGAAAUGCGAUAAGUAAUGUGAAUUGCAGAAUUCAGUGAAUCAUCGAAUCUUUGAACGCACAUUGCGCCCGCCAGUAUUCUGGCGGGCAUGCCUGUUCGAGCGUCAUUUCAACCAUCAAGCCCCCGGCUUGUGUUGGGGACCUGCGGCUGCCGCAGGCCCUGAAAAGCAGUGGCGGGCUCGCUGUCACACCGAGCGUAGUAGCAUACAUCUCGCUCUGGGCGUGCUGCGGGUUCCGGCCGUUAAACCACCUUCAUAACCCAAGGUUGACCUCUGAUCAGGUAGGAAGACCCGCUGAACUUAAGCAUAUCAAUAAGCGGAGGA
Molecule: unclassified non-coding RNA, 336 nt
Filed under: soil metagenome
Description: partial contains 5.8S ribosomal RNA, internal transcribed spacer 2, and large subunit ribosomal RNA
Rfam family: 5.8S ribosomal RNA (bases 1-120)
Source: RNAcentral